GGCUGGUCUGAGGCAGUGAUGUUUACAACAAAUUGAUCACAAUCGGUUACAGAUUCCUUUGUUCCUUCUCCAUUUCCACUGCUUCACUUGACUAGCCUUAA
Unclassified non-coding RNA from Aotus nancymaae (Ma's night monkey), 101 nucleotides. It matches the Rfam family "Y RNA". Rfam says of the family: Y RNAs are components of the Ro ribonucleoprotein particle (Ro RNP), in association with Ro60 and La proteins. The Y RNAs and Ro60 and La proteins are well conserved, but the function of the Ro RNP is not known. The record is from Ensembl. NCBI's taxonomy places the organism in Eukaryota, Metazoa, Chordata, Mammalia, Primates, Aotidae.